UUUCUUAAAAUUAUUGCUUUAUUAGCAGCCCAUAACAUCAUCAACAUGCAUAUUUCUGUGAUUUAGAUUCAAUACAUAUAUUUCAAAAUAUCAGAUCUGAAAAAUGCUCUCCAUUUUUAUCAUAGGCCUAUUCAAUAAAAUAUAUACCUUUGGUGUAAUAUGUUUUAUUGUAUAUAGCAAACCAUUUUUACUAUCAUCAAAAAUAUAUUUUAGCACUUGUGAAUUACAGGGGACUUUGAUUCCUCAGAUAACCCACAGUAUUGGAUACAGUAUCUUGAACUGGCUCAUAAAUAUUUAGACAUGUCAAAUGUACAUUUUCUGUUGGAAAUGGCAAGUGAAAGAUCUUCAAGAUGUCUAAAUUUACUAAUAAUUAAGCUACUUAAGCUAUCUUUAUGCUACUUUGUUAGAUGCAUCAUAAGACAUUAUUUUCAUUGAAAAUAUGCUUUAAAUAAGGCAAGUUUUGUAAGAAUUUAAACAGUGGUUUUUGUUACAAAGAAAAGCUUUUCUUAUAAAGGUGGUCAUGACUCCCUUGCUAUUAUGAAAUCACUACACACAAAGCAAUAAAAUUACAGAGCUAAACAUCCUCCGAGGAUGAGAUCACAGUGAAGAAAGCUGUGAUAUACUUUAUGCUGUUAGUCAUGUUGUAUCAUAUCGCAUCAUAUAAUGAUACCACAAUAGAAGAGAGCUGGUUAUUUACACAGUGGUUCUGACUGGCAAAUGUAAACAGAUAUGAGUCAAGCACCUCAGCAGUGCAUUGACUUGUUAGUUCACCUUUAGGGUUUUGCAAUGUUGUUCAUUAGUUCCGUUCUCAACUUGACAUGAGGCACCUAUUUUUCAGGUAAGAAACUGCUCAGUUGAUGAAGUGUCAAUGAGAUUUUCAAGUCAAUAUGAAUUUGUUCCCUUUUAGUUCAUUAUUAAGUCAAGCUAUGAUCCAAGAAAGAUGAAAUGCUGUUAGAUUUGUAUGCAGUUCAAGGAAUUAAAUGACAUAGAGUGACUGUUGGUUUCUAAGACAUAUAAGCUCAAAAACAUUUCCAGUACAGCAAGUAAUAAUUUAAGCAAACUGUUUAGGUAAAGACCACAUUUUAAUAUAGAUUAACAGAAGUCUGAUGACUAUUCAGAAACUCUUAGUCCAGUUGAAAUGAUUGAAAUUGGCUUGAAAAAGCUGAAGUGUACUCAGUCAGUGAAGGUAUGAACACUUUAGCAUUAAAAGGUAUGACAGUUGGAGUGUCUUUCCAGAAAAAAUGCUCCUUCUUUUUAAGGUCAAUUUGAAGGUGAAUUCUGUUGUGAAUCACUUUUCUCCACCAGAGGACUUCAUUGUAAACAGGGAUAUAUUGUUGCAGCAGACAGCUUGUGUAGCUAUUCUUCCUCACGUCACAGUAUACGCUUCCCCUCAGUGAAGAGGUGCCUGCUGUCUGUGGAAAGUCCACUUAGCAAGUCCUGUUCUAAGAGCCAUGUGUUCCUCCUUGUACCAGGGUCAUAAGUAGCAUCUUCUCUCUUUUGCUCUUUAGAAGUGUCUAAUUGUUCUAGAUUAUCACACUAUGUUCACCAUUGUGGUAAACUAAUUAUUAUUUUGGAAAGCUUAUCUGUGGCAGAUUACGAAAUAACUUAUAGUCUCAGGCUAUUCUCAGGUGAGAAGGAUGUUAAAUUCUCAUUCUGCAAAUAUUCUUCAUUUCCCAAGUUUUCAUGAGGUUAAGAUUCUACCAACCAGACAAAACUGUCAUCCUCAUGCACCAUUUGUCUUAAAUGCAUUAAUCUUCUUCUUACAGAGGUUUAGAACUUCUGUACUGUACACAAGUGAGAAAUAACGGUUCUUCCUUGCUUAUGUUUCUAAGAGGUGUUUCCCCAGAAACUCCUCAGGGGUACUUCCUGAUUUCAUGAAUUACUGUCUCUUCAGAAAGAAUGGUGGUUUGUAUUUCUCUUCCCAACCUUCCUACACCUUUUUUCAUGCCCAAAUAGCUUGAGCUGAUGAAUCAUGACUCUUUUCUUUCCUUGCUGUUUAUCCUCCUUCCCUUGUAACUUUGAAGAUAAUCAGCCAGAUAUAUUUCUCCUCCCAAAAGCUAUUUUAAAAUUGAAAAGUCAAUUGAGAAUGCCAUUCCUAGGAGGGGUGGUGAGGUUUAAUCUCAAAAAAAAAUUAGUAAUCAUGUCCAUGUUACGAACAAAGCAAUAUAGAUAGAGGUGCUUGUCAAAAAUCCUAAUGAAUUUUCAAUUACCUUGAUUUCUCACUUCACAUUUCCUAAUAUAUUUCUUAAUAUAUUUCUAAUUUCAUCUUUUAAAAGAAGUCCUUGGAGGUUUUAGAAUCAGGACCACACCUGGCCAGAAGAAGCAGCCUGAAAGUGGUAGGAAUAGUUUUGUGAUUUCUUUUAUUGAGCCAGGUGAUGUGGACUCUUCUGUUUCAAUCUAUUUCAAGUGGUUUAUCUCCAUUUAAUGGGGGAAAAGAGGGGGUAGGAAGUAUCCAUGCAUAAUUUUGUAAUUCCCUCAAGGAUAUCAUUGUGUUAUUAUACAGGAGAUGUCCCACUGUAUAAUAGGAUCUGUAUGUCAAUGCUCUGUAACUUGAGUUUCUAAAUACCAUGCAAGAAAUUUGAUCAAAGUGUUUUCAGUGUAGGAGAUAUUUCACUAUAAUAUUUAACCAUAGGUCUAAUAAAACAGAUGUUUUAUUU
This is a long non-coding RNA of Strigops habroptila (Kakapo), 2657 nucleotides long. Lineage: Eukaryota; Metazoa; Chordata; Aves; Psittaciformes; Psittacidae. The record is from Ensembl.